This is a long non-coding RNA of Canis lupus familiaris (dog), 1359 nucleotides long. RefSeq lists it as uncharacterized. The record is from RefSeq and is a predicted model, not a curated record. Lineage: Eukaryota; Metazoa; Chordata; Mammalia; Carnivora; Canidae. The transcript has 6 exons.
CAGAGAGUCACAGAGGUAAGUGACUGUGGGGUAGAGAUCAUUACCACAUUUACCAGUUAUGGAAAUUGACAGUUCUUGACAAGGGCUCAGCCAUUCUACCCAGAAAAUGGAGACAAUAACGCCUACCUGAGUCGAACAUGUUCUGUGACAAGGCACAUGUAACUGCUUGGAGAAGCAGGAUUUAAUGCUUGCCCUUGUCGUAAUAAAAUAAUAAAAUAAGCCUUGAACUAGAAGUCAAUUUGAAGACACUGAAGUCUGUAUCAUAAGGAAUGAGUAUCCAUGGACUAUGUAUGUGAUAUCAAGCCCAAAUACCAGGAGUUUGCAAAUGUAGAAAAGUCAUAUGAAGCCAACCAAAUCCAGCACUGGUACACAAGUCUGUCUGCAAACUGCACACCCUAAGCAUCAUUGAGUGAGCCAUUCAGAGUGGAAAUUUCAAUUUUAGCAGAGAAUCUGGUACUCAAUCAGUUACUGGAAAAUCUUUAUGUUUGCAACAACUUGGGUAUGUAGAUCUACUUUUGCAACUGCAAGGAGUAUGAAAUCCUACAUAUGGAUCACGUAUUUCCUAUAAGAGCAUAGUAACUGGAUUGAGAUGGGCUAAAAGUAUAAAAUACACACUCAUUUCUACAAUUUAGCACAAAGGAAACAGAAGGAGGACUCUGUUCUUCCUGGAUCACAUCCUUGCAACGCUCCCUAUUGGAUGAAGCCAUUACCAUUAAGGGUUGUCUAGGGAUAAUUUCAAAAAGAGAAAGCCAGAUUUGGGGAGCAAUCGGUUCCUCGAGUUAUGAGAACAUAGGAAGGCUGAAGAAAUGAGGAAAAGCAUUCGAGGAACUAGGGAAUGGGUUAAGGUCUCGACGUUGACGUUGACCAUGCACCACGCAUGUCAUUCCCAUCUCAUUGGACUCCUGACAACCUCGCAAGUGAGACUUAUCAUCUCUGGUUUUCAGGAUGGAAAACUGAGAUGAAGAAUAAUUAAGUAUGUUGCCCUAGAUCAAGGAGAUAGCAAACGCAGAUCCAGGAUCUUCACCUAGAGCACUCUCAACUUUAUUAAAUAUUAGAUACUGUUUGAUGUCAGAAACUGACUAUGAACUCCUGCAAUGUGCAUGUACUCUAUGUUGCAACUUUGCAUAUAAUAAUGAAUUUCAACCAUAUUCAACUAUAUUGCCCUAACAAUGUCACCCUGAGGUGGCCAUGUUCCCCCUCGUUGUAAGGAUGGGAUAUGAGGGUCAGAGCAUCUAAGCAGGCUGCCCAAGGAAUGCACCCUGUGGUCAAGCCCUGAUUCAAUAACAAUGCUUCUCAUUUUAAAACCCUGUGCUCUGUUCACUAAAGCCCCUUCUGAUAAAUAAACAGUAUAUAAACCUG